CAAUAGCGUAUAUUAAAGUUGUUGCGGUUAAAAAGCUCGUAGUUGGAUUUCUGCUGAGGAUGACCGGUCCGCCCUCUGGGCUGGUAUCUGGCUCAGCCUUGGCAUCUUCCUGAAGAACGUAGCUGCACUUCACUGUGUGGUACGGUAUUUAGGACAUUUACUUUGAGGAAAUUAGAGUGUUUCAAGCAAGCGCACGCCUUGAAUACAUUAGCAUGGAAUAAUAAGAUAGGACUUUGGUGCUAUUUUGUUGGUUGAGCCUAAAGUAAUGAUUAAUAGGGAUAGUUGGGGGCACCUGUAUUGCGUUGUCAGAGGUGAAAUUCUUGGAUUUACGCAAGACAAACAGCUGCGAAAGCGUCUGCCAAGGAUGUUUUCAUUAA
This 377-nucleotide ribosomal RNA is filed under the name uncultured eukaryote. Its description in RNAcentral is "partial 18S ribosomal RNA". It matches the Rfam family "Eukaryotic small subunit ribosomal RNA", at positions 592 to 976 of the family's 1831-position model. The record is from RNAcentral.